GUUUCGGCCUUUUUGAAUGUCAUUAAGCCUGCUGACAACGCUCAUCGGUCUCCAGAGUCGUGACGUAAGAAAGGCCAACGCAUGACUUUCUUUUCAUAUCACAGGGACGUUUAUACAGGCCUGGUUGGUGGAUUGCUGCAGAGAUGGUUGUCCUUCUGGAAGGUCCUCUUCAAAGAGGACUGCUGUAGCUCUGACAGAGUUACCAUCGGGUUCUUGGUCACCACCCUGACUAGACUAAGAUGAAUGCAGCGAUGUACAGAGACAUCCUGGAUGACAACCAACCCUUCCCAUCCAGUCUGAUUGAGCUUGGAGGUGCUGCAAAGAGGAAUGAGAGAAACUGCCCAAAGAAAGGAAGUCACCGUGUGUCAUCACAAAGAGUGGGAGAUGAGGGAGAAGAAAGAAGAGGUGGAAGCAAAAUAAAGGCCAGCAGUGGGUGAGAAUGGAAAAGAAGCUGUCAUUUUCUACCCACCGAGUGCAAGACAUUUAAACCUCCCGCUGCCUCAGCAGAGCUACCAACAUUAUCAAGGACCGAUCCCACCCUGGCUAAGACCUGUUUGACCUGCUGCCCUCAGGAAGGCGCUACAGGGUCAUCAGGUCUAAGACAAAACAAGACUCAAGAACAGUUUUUUCCCAUAAAAGCCAUAACCAGGGUGAACUGGUGAGGCGUGGUUGUAUUGUAUAUUAAGUGUGUGUCCAUGAAAGGGUAUUUUAUGACUUUUUUCUUAAUACUUGUGUAUGAUUUUAUUGUCAUAAUUGUAUUGCAUGAUUUUUGUAUCCCUUUAAUUUAGGUGGCCAGGGACUGCAGAUGGAAAUGAGCUAUUUAGCUAUAAUCUGGUACAGAACAGUUAGUUUUUUGUUGUUUUUACCGCAAAUCAACAACUAGAUUUUUCGGUGUAUUACUGUAAAUGUCAAAACGGCACCAAAGUUUAUUACAAUAAAAAAAGUACAGAUUUUUUCAUUUAGAGAAAAAUGCUGUAAAAAUCACAGUAAAUUUUACCAUGAAAUCUAUUGCUACUUUUACAUUGCACAAUUUGAUGGUUAACUUGCUUUGAAAUAAUUAAUAUUUGUAUUUAUUUAUAUUUUUAAAAAUGGUUUGAACGUUUGAUAAUAUCUUUUAUUUUAUUGUCAUAAUUGUAUUGCAUGAUUUGUGUAUCCCUUUAAUUUAGGUGGCCAGGGACUGCAGAUGGAAAUUAGCUAUUUAGCUAUAAUCUGGUACAGAACAUAUCUGUCUUUGAGCUUAAUGUCUCUGUGCAUUGUCCCUUCAAAUAAAGACUAAACUAACUAACUCUCAUAGGCACUGAUUUUAUAGUUUAGCACCUCUCUGUGUGCAAUUUUUAUUAUCCACCCACAGUCUGAAUGCUUCUGUAUAUAUGUAUACAGUAUAAUAUUUAAUAUUUAAACAACACAUUCAGAACAUUGGUUCUCAGGACUGGACUGUGCACCUUACCUCCUUUUGCACUAUUUUUCUUUUCUUUCCUUCCUAUGUUUUGCAUAUUUAUAGACUGUCGCACUGAUACUGGAGUUGCUUUUAAUGUCAUUGUACCU
Nerophis lumbriciformis (worm pipefish) is the source of this 1545-nucleotide long non-coding RNA. RefSeq lists it as uncharacterized. The record is from RefSeq and is a predicted model, not a curated record. Lineage: Eukaryota; Metazoa; Chordata; Actinopteri; Syngnathiformes; Syngnathidae.